UUUUCAGAAAUGCCGGCCCUAUUCUGGAAUGAUUCUGGAACUGUGGGGAAGACAAUUGAGAACUGAAGAUUAUCUUGACCUGAAGUUUAUCGUCCUUUGUGUGAGGGUGAUAAUGAGAAGCAAUGGACUAGAGGAUUCAAGUGGAAGAGUUUUGACCACCAGCGAGUCCUCCCGGGAACGUGAAUUGGAAACAAGCUAAGUGCAUUUUCUCAGCAGAAAGAAGAUGAGCUUACACAUCACCUAGUGACUAUCCAGUUGGGAAUCUGAAAGCACUAGUGGGCAACUGAGCUGUCCCCCACAGCUAUUCAGCAGGCGAUGCGCUUACAUGCUCCAGAAAAGGGGAAUCAGGAGCAGUGUUCAUCAGUGAAUGAAAGGAGCGCUGGAAAGAGAACCACAUGCUGA
This is a non-coding RNA of Saimiri boliviensis boliviensis (Bolivian squirrel monkey), 402 nucleotides long. NCBI's taxonomy places the organism in Eukaryota, Metazoa, Chordata, Mammalia, Primates, Cebidae. The record is from RefSeq and is a predicted model, not a curated record.